Molecule: long non-coding RNA, 3374 nt
Organism: Mus musculus (house mouse)
Lineage: Eukaryota; Metazoa; Chordata; Mammalia; Rodentia; Muridae
Product: predicted gene, 34808
Exons: 6
Source: RefSeq, a predicted model, not a curated record
CGUGAUGUCAGAGCUCUGAAUAGAGCCCAGGACUGCAUGUCUCUGGGUGUGGGAAACCUGUUUACUUGCUGAAUACUUGCUUUCUUCCCUAGCAUUCUUUCUCACUAAAGGAGACACACAGGGCUGAAGUCAUGAGGCUAUUUCCCUACCUUGCUGGCUCUAUUUCCUGUGUUAGGUGAGCUGACCAUUUUCUAUUUAGCUCCCAGCCAAGACAGAAGUUCCCCAGGCAAAAACAGGGGAAAAAAAAAUCCCUCAUAGCCAGAAUGAAACACAGAGGUCCUCUGCUUGGCUGUGGAAUUUUGAAGAGCGAGCUUGCUGGAAAGAGGCAUGGCAUGCUUCUGAGUCCCAAACUAGAUUACAGCCAAAGAGAAUGGAGGGACAGAGCAAUGCCUUGCUGUCGUGGAAGAAAAUAACACACUUUGAAUUGAAUUAGUUGUUCUGUAACCAAGCCUUGUCACAUUAACGCUGUGUGUAUCAAAAAACGCUCAGAGCUGUCAGCUUCAUACGCCUGUGAUUCGGUGCUGCUCAGAAGACUGUAGGUCGGCUGGGGGCUGGCUGCCAGAGGACAGGACUGCCGGCCUUGCUCGCCUUCACACUGCAGAUUAAGUUGAGGUACACCUCACAUGUCUCUCAUCCCUUUGGACAGAUAAGUGUAUCUUUCAAUUCUUAUUAGAGAAGCUUCAAUUUACAGCAGAUAGUGAUUAAUACGGAGCCUCAUUAUUGGCCAAGGUGAAGAGAAUAAGAGACCAAGUCUUCUAGGAAAAAGGUAAGUGCAUUCUACAUGUGGAAAUGAGGACAAAGCUAUGAUUUUAGUGAUCAGAAGAGUAGAUUAUGGUGUGUCACCAGCGCUUGUUUUUGUUUACAAGGCACACAACUACACUAGAUUUCCUUAAAACUAAGAGUGGCCAAAUGAUUGAGAUUUAGAGAAAUAGACAAAAGUGGUGAUUGACUUCUAGGUAGGCAUCAUGCAUUCUUUUGACAGGACACUGUUUUAAUUAAGAAUAAGGAAGAGAUACGGGAAGUGAGAGAAACUCAGGGGUCACUUGUAGAGAGCCACACAGCCAUAAAGUGGAGAGGGUCUGGGUCUCUGAAUUAUACCUGAAGGAAGGAUACCAAUAGGAACAACCUGUGCAGACUGCUAGAAGCAAGAAACAAUGUCUGCCAUGAUAAGCCACCAGGAGCUGUACUUGUCUCCCCUGAUAUGCUAUUGUAUUACAUAAAAUAUGUGCUGAUUGUAGAUGAUUUGAUAAGUUCUGAAAGUAAUAGAAAGGGGGGACAGUUUUCCACUGCCCAGAGAUAACAGCUUUUACUAUUGUAGUGUGGUCCGCCCCCCACCCACACACACUUCCACUUGUUUUUGCAUAAGAGCAUCAUAGGCCACACGAUGAUGAAAAUAGGAAGAGGGUUUGGUGAUAGUUUUUACAAUGAAAAUCUCUAAUUUCUCAGGUCAUUCACAAUGUACUUUACAGUGCUCCCCUUCUUAAAAAAGGCUGAAUCUCAUGGUAUAGUCCAGACUGGCCUGGCCUCACACUUUCUGUGACUCUUCCACAUCUUUCUCCUGAGUGCUGAGCUUACAGACAGUGAUGGAAGCAGUAUGCAGCUUUUGGGAUAGAAGAUGCUUUUGCCAGAGUGGAGUCAAAGCGUGAUCAAAUGAUCCAGUGUCCAGCUAGGUGAAAAUCAUCUUUUAAAAUGGGGGCUGGGUCCGAGGAGGGAGAACAGACUGUCAGCAGUUCCCAGCGCUAUCAGGAUUCUCUGCUCUGCCACUGACGUUUAUGAGUUGAAAUGAAGAACCCAACCACAGAACAGAAUCUCCAAAGGCUGGAAGGUGCCAGGCACAGUUAUCACAGCAGGAUGCUUUCGGUUCUGGGCCACAGAGCAGCAGCGUUUUGGAGGAGCAUGAGAGCGAGGCUGCAUUCUCUUCACUACUUUGAGGCCACCUAGUGAGAAGGCUGUGGUGGUAUCAUUCUGUGGAAUGCCAACUGGCAGUAAAAGGCACAAGCCACAGCUAUACACAAAUGGAUCAAUCAGCCAAUCAUUUCGAAUCUACAAAGCAAGAUUCGGAAGACAACAUACCCUUGAGAUGCCCGUAUGGAUCUUUCUGUACAACUCAAAUCGAAACAAAUUUGAAUGACAUAUUUCACGUGUAUGCAGAUCUAUCGUUCUAAAUAGUGAUCAAAGAAAGGCAGUGGUGAGUGUGAGAUUGGGAUAUGUUGAUUUUUAAAGGAAGUCAGGAGGACCAACCAGGAAGGAGAUGGCUGUGAAAUAGGCUAUGUCAGGUAUUAGUUUGGUAAGGCUACCUUAAAAAAACAAAAAACCAAACCAAACCAAACCAAACCAAACAAACAAACAAAAAAGAAACCGCCACAGACUUUAAUCAACAGAGCUUUCUCAUCUCACAGUUUCGAAGGCUGACAUUCUAAAUCAAAAUUGGUUCCUAUGAGGACUACGAGAAAGGGCCGGCUUUCCUUGUGUCUCUUUACCUUGUUUUCUGUCUAUGUUUGAUUACCUUUAUAUUCAUUCUCUUUUGCUAAAAGGACCCCGUUCACAUUAAUUUAUGACAAAGCCUGUGGUAGUUUGAGGGAGAAUGGCCCCCAUAAGCUCCUAUGCGUGACUGCUUGAUGGAACUGUUUCAAAAAGGAUUAGGAGGUGUGGCCUUGUUGGAGGGGUGUGUUGCUAUUAUUGGUAGGCUUUGAGGUCUCCAGGAUCAUGAGUUCUCCUUGCUUCUUGCUUGUGGAUCAGAGGUAAGCAUUCAACCACUGCUCCAAGCACCAUCAUAGCUACCUGCUGCCACAUGGGCUCCCUGUCAUAAUGGUCAUGGACACUCACCCUUUGAAACUGUAAGCACACCCUCAAUCAAAUGCUUCCUUUUAUAUGUUGCCUUGGUCAUGGUGUUUCUUCACAGCAAUAGAAAAGCAACUAAGAUAAACCCUGAGCUAAUUACUAGGCUAUGACACAUCCUAAAGACCUUACCUUAACUCAUUUUAUCCAUAAUGAUCUUUUUUUUUUUAAAGGAAAGUCAUAUACUGAGGGGCUAGAUGCUAAGAUCGCAGCACAUGAAUUUUAGGGGGCACAGUUCAACCUAUUACAUUGACACUGAAUUGUAGUUCUGCGUUGGCAUAAAGGGUUAUAGGCACUCAUUGUCCUAUUAAAAUAAAAGAGGACUGUCCUUGGACUAAUGCUGAUUGCCAGCUAAGAAGUAACCCAGUUUGUGGCACUGAGUUGAGAGAGAGAGAGAGAGAGAGAGAUAGAGAGAGAGAGAGAGAAAUCCCUGCUCAGACAGUCUGCGUGCUCAGUGCAGCUGUUGGAGUGGAGGUGGAGUCAAGUCUGAGCUGGGGCUCUGAAUGGGAUGCCUCAAUAAAUAUUGAUGAGCAGUA